UGUUUUUUUUAAGGAACGACAUUGCUUUUUAAAUUAUACUUUCUUUAAUAUAAAAAAAAUCUUCGGUGAAGCACAAUGAAUGUAUUUUUAAACCCGUUACUCGUAGAGUAAGAGGGCAUUCUAGAUUCGUCGGAAAGUAUGUAUACGCUGAGAUCUCGGAAACUAUAAAAGCUAGAAUGUUAGGACUUGGUAUGUGCAUAGAUUGUAUUUUUCGAAAAUUUCUUUGCACCAAUCCACUAAAAACAAGCCUUUUGAGCGAUUAUCAAUUUUACGGCCUGCUGUUCUUGCAAUAUCGAAUGUAUGCUGGUGGAGCAAAUACCUAAGGAUUCCUCUAUCUCACGGUAUGUCACAUGACGAUCUUGAAUUAUCAGUUCAUUGGCUCAACGACUGUUUUUGGAUGACCUUCUUGACUAUCGUCUUCGAGCUAGAGCUGGAGAACAAUCGAUGGAAACAUCGAUAGUAUCGAUUGUCUCAAAAUUUCGUGAAAGUCGAUUGUUUUUUCUCACUAUCGAUGGUUUUCCUUUUUUUUUUGCCCAUCACUAUGCUUUUCCCAUCACUUUUUUAGCGGGAGUUGGCAAGCGAACAAGUGAAUUAAUAUCUUAAAAGUGGUGGUGUUAGUGCUGGCAGUGGCCUGAAAUGGAUUAUGGACAAGUUUCUCAAAACCGUCCUUGCCACCAGAAAGCUUUUAAAUCCAACCAAUCACACUGCCGCCAAUGUUGCGGAGACAUUACAGGACAUUUUUUUAGAAUGGUCCGUGCUGCACAAGAUUACCACGAUAGUGACGGACAAUGAUGCUACAAUGAAAAAAGCUUGCGAUCUCCUUAAAAUUAAACACCUGCCGUGCCUCGCACAUACUUUAAACUUGCUCGUCCAGGAGGUAUUGAAAGUGCAAAGUUUUUCUUAGAUUAUGAACAAGUGUAAACGCAUCGUAACUUUUUUUAAAAGCAGCACAAUAGCUACUGAAAAGUUUAAGAUAGCGCAGGCCGUAAGUAUGCCAUAUACUUUAAUACAGGAAGUUCCUACAAGGUGGAACAGCGCUUUUUUUAUUAUGGAAAGAAUCAUCAAGACUCAUGACGCUAUUUCCUAUGUUUUGGUAAACACAGCAAAGGCCCCACAGCCAUUUUCAAUUGAAGAAAUUGAGAUUUUAAAAGAACUGUGCGCAAUAAUGUCACUGUUUAAUGAUGCAAGCAAACAAGCCUCAGCGGAUAAAAUUGCUGUUGUAUCAAAAAAUGAAUUUAAUAAAGUGCUCUUCAAAAGCGGCUCAGGAUGCUCAUGACUUGAUCAAAAUUCGCAUCAAAGAACGAUUUUAUCAUUAUAAAUCACGAACUGUCCCUAGAAUUGCGACACUGCUAGAUCCACGCUUCAAAAAGGAAGGCUUUUUCUACCAUCGAAUGCUGAACAAGCUGCUAAGGCUUUGGAGUUGAAGCUCUACGAAAUAUUGUCUAUGAAUUCGAAUGCUAGUUCCACAGCUCCAGCACCACCACAACCAAGCUGGAAGAUGACCAACGAUGAUUUUCAAGCCUUCAAGGUCCUCGCUAAAGAAUAUCUGUGCGUCCCAGCAUCCUCCUGUGCCUCCGAAAGGACUUUAAGUAAGGCAGGACAAAUAAUUUCAGACCGUCGAUGCGCGCUGAAGUCCAAAACUGUAGACCAGUUGUUAUUUAUU
Non-coding RNA from Drosophila suzukii, 1663 nucleotides. The record is from RefSeq and is a predicted model, not a curated record. Lineage: Eukaryota; Metazoa; Arthropoda; Insecta; Diptera; Drosophilidae.